UACGUAGGGCGCAAGCGUUAUCCGGAAUUACUGGGCGUAAAGCGUGCGCAGGCGGUUUGUUAAGCGAGAUGUGAAAGCCCCGGGCUCAACCUGGGAACCGCAUUUCGAACUGGCAAACUAGAGUCUUGUAGAGGGGGGUAGAAUUCCAGGUGUAGCGGUGAAAUGCGUAGAGAUCUGGAGGAAUACCGGUGGCGAAGGCGGCCCCCUGGACAAAGACUGACGCUCAGGCACGAAAGCGUGGGGAGCAAACAGG
RNAcentral lists this ribosomal RNA (253 nucleotides) under uncultured microorganism. RNAcentral describes it as "partial 16S ribosomal RNA". It matches the Rfam family "Bacterial small subunit ribosomal RNA", at positions 524 to 776 of the family's 1533-position model. The record is from RNAcentral.